This 55-nucleotide transfer RNA is filed under the name Boodlea composita. RNAcentral's name for it is "tRNA-Gln". Lineage: Eukaryota; Viridiplantae; Chlorophyta; Ulvophyceae; Cladophorales; Boodleaceae. The record is from RNAcentral.
CAUUGGGUCGCAGGCGGAGUUUGAGUUCGAUAAAGGUUUUUGUCAUCCCCAAUGC